CCUACAAUAAAUUGAUCUAACAGCCCUUUCCUUUUUCAUGUCCUUGUGUGACAAGGCAUUUAGAACAAUUUGCAGAUUCGUUGGAAUCUGAUAGGGCCAUGUUGUGAGUGCUUCUGUUAU
Long non-coding RNA from Gavialis gangeticus (Gharial), 120 nucleotides. RefSeq lists it as uncharacterized. The transcript is spliced from 3 exons. NCBI's taxonomy places the organism in Eukaryota, Metazoa, Chordata, Crocodylia, Gavialidae. The record is from RefSeq and is a predicted model, not a curated record.